RNAcentral lists this long non-coding RNA (5075 nucleotides) under Citrus maxima (pomelo). RNAcentral describes it as "long non-coding RNA (CMAX_LNC003785)". The record is from RNAcentral. Lineage: Eukaryota; Viridiplantae; Streptophyta; Magnoliopsida; Sapindales; Rutaceae.
UCGAAAUAAAAUGCAGCCACAAAACCUUAAUUCACCACACUAAUUUAUCUCUACUCGGCAUUCAUUUAGAGCCUACCUCGCGGUUCAAUGUCAUUCAAUAAGAUUGCAUAUGUCAUUUCAACUUGUCAUUUAGUUAAUGCCAUUCAGUUCCCUGCGGUAAGCCUUAACCCUAAUAACAAAUCGACUGUGGUAGCACAUUGCUUGUUAGGGGUGGCGAUACAUUAUUUGAAUAUAUGAAUUGGGUGAUGUUAGUGAUUCAUCCCACUGUUUGUCGUGAAUUGAGAUUUGUGUAUGAUGUUUGUAAGAUUGCUAAAAAUUUCAUAUUUUUUAUUGUUCCAGUUGAAUUUCUUGCUUGUGGAAGAUAAAACAAAAGUUCAAUUCCAUGUUGAUAUAAUUCUUUUUUUCCCUUUAUAGUCAUGCUCUAGCUUUGGUGCUAUGCUUAGUGCAGUUUAUGGUUUCAAGAUUAAGUCAGGUUUAUUUGAUGGCGCGUCGAUUCCGUCAUUGAGGAUUGGAUUGUUGAUCAAAUGCACAUAGUAAGCUCUUCUUAUUUUAUCUCCGUUUCAAUUUUCUUUUUUUAUCUGCAUCUGCCUGAAAAUGGAAAUGUUUUACUAGUAAGCAUAGACUUUAUUUAUUUAGUUGAUAUUUUAAUUUUAUGUAUAAGAAUGGAGCUUUAUUUUGGGAAAAAAAAAGGAAAUAAAGAAAUAGACUCUGCCGAAGCAAAUUAGUACAAAAUUCUUUUAUGGUACGACCAGAGGUAGAAACAGGGUAUGAAAAUGUGCUACUUGCGAGGUUGCUGUUUAAGAUGAGAAUGCCUUCUUUUAGAAAAUCCUUGGUAAGUGUUAUAUAAUUAUAUUUGAUGGAAUAUUAAAUGGCUAAAAACCUGUCAUACGUUCAAACUUUGUUUGUGUUUAGAAGAAUGGUGUUUGAUUGUGUAUUCAUUUGCUUAGCCUUUUGACAGAUUGAUUUAGAACUGACGACAAAUGUGAUUCAAUUUACAAGGUUUUAGAGGGGCUUACAGUGGAAGGGAUAUUGAAGAACUGGUCUAAGAUAAAACCUAUGAUUAUGAAAGAUUGCGGUGAGAAUAUAGAUGCUCUUUUUCAUCUUUUUGGCAAGGUCAGAGAUGAAUGAAUGGAUAAGGAUUUGACUACUUGGACUGGUGCUAAUAGGUAUUUUAAAUAAGCUUUUUGAGAUAACACUGAACAAGUUGUACUACUAUUCUUUACAUGAUGAUCAAAACUCUCGAAAAAUAAAAUAAAAUAAAAUAAAAUAAAGUAGUAACUUUUACUUUCAUCUUUUGCAUAGCAAUCAAUGUGGUGCUUGUUCUGUGACAACUUUGAGAAUUUACUUAAUUAUUGGUUAUUAUUUGGACCGAAAAAGUUCUUAUGAUUUGCAUGUUUUGCAGAAAUGCAUGAAUCUGAAAUGUGCUUUCAGGGAGUACAAUUAUUGCACCUUAAAAUUCAUUUAUCGUUAACUAAUUGGCUUCCUUUUGCAUAAAGCUGCUUAUGAAGCUUGAGUUGACGCCUUUGUGGGAAUAUUAUUUGUAUUUCUUUAUGCAUGCCUUAUCAUUUAAUGGUCAGCUCCCUUUCCUCUUUUGUAAUUUGAAUAAUAGUAUGGGCCUUUAUUUUAUAAAUCUUCAACAUUUUUUGCUGUAAAUUAAUUUGUUUUUCAGAUAUUUUGGAGCUCAUUGGAAUUCUUGUAGGCCUAUUGUUAGAGUGCAAUUUAUGCACUAGUUUUGCAUUGUUUACUUCCCUUAAUAUCGAUGUUUUGCACUUAAUAAUAAUGUUUUACUUGUGUUUUACUUUUGUAGGUGCAAUUCUAUUGAUUGGUGAUAAAAUUGAGCUAAAAGAUGAUGUUUAAGGAGGAUUGUUCUCUUGGAGAAAUUAUGAGCGUCAGAAGAACUUUGUUGAUAAGGCGUGGGCGCGUGCUGUCAACUGCGGACCUGCAGUUUUUAGUUUAACGUGUUUUGUAUUUUUGGUUAUUUUUGUAAUUACGAACUUAAUAUUUCAUAUAUUAGUAUUUUAUUUUAAAUAGAAUUCUAAAAGAGAAGAGAGAGAAAGUAUUUAAGGGAGGAAUCUAUUGUGAAAAAGGGGGGAUUUUGGAUUGGAGAGAAAGAAACCCUAGAUCUAAUUUUUCUCUUCUCUCUAUGAGGAACUAAACCCAUUUUUCUGGUUGAAGGAUAAUGAAGCUUUGAUUCAUCACUACUGUGAGAUUUUUCUUGUGCUUUAAUUGUUUUAUUGCUUUUUGGGUAUUUGUUUAUUCUCUGAAUUUUCUUCAUGAUUAUGUUUGUUAAUUAGGUAAUUGGCCACUAUUUAAUUAUCAACUUAAUUUAUUGUCAAUUAGAGGAUUCAUCGUAUGAAGAAUUUAAUGUUUGUGACAAAUAACAUAGCAGAGAGUUGUGUUGUGAGAAUAAACAAUCUAAUUUAAAUGAAUCAUCAUAUGUGUUGAUUAGGAUUUGGGUCUCUCUGGUUUUUCAGGCUGUCAAUUGAUUAAAUCCUAUGAUCGUAUCUAGGGUUGUCCAUUGAUUAGGGAAAUAACCAACGGUCGUACCUUGGUUAUCGACUAGUUAAGGAGAGAUUGGCUAUUAGAGGGUCUCAAUAGCUAUAACCGGUCUAUUCAUAAGUAAUAAUAAUCUAUAUUUGAAUCAAUGAUCAGUAGUCGAAUCAAGGUGAGUUAAUUCCUUCAACCAGAGCUUUCUCCAAUUUGAAUUACAACUUUAAUUUGCAUUCUUGUUAUUUCAAUUUGAUUUUUAUUAUUGUCAAUAAUUCCCCCAUUUUACGUUUUACAUUUCAAAAGGAUUUAAAUAAUUACCGAUCUCUGUGGACACGAUCCUGCUCAAUCACUAUACACAAUUUAUUUAGAGUAGGAAUUUAUUUUUGUUGGCUUCGACAACCAUCACCUAUUUACCGGAUUUUAGUAUGUAUAAGGUUUUAAUUUUGCUUAGAUUUUAAUUUUUCUGAAAGUUUGUAGUAUUGGUCCAUAAAGUAACAUCAUGCCACUUCAAAUUAUUUUGAAGUGUUGCUAGGUAUUGCCUUACAUAUCAAAUUCUAUUUGUCUGGAAAUUUGUUGAUAUUAGUUACAGCAGCAUAUUUUAUGACUUUACUUCUUAGUUAUGUAAGUUCAUUAUGUUUAGGUCAGAGGCGGUCAGCUAUGGGGAACCAAUAUAUACACAGAUGACUUUGAUCUUGUUGCUAGUAUGUGGUUCUAUGAAUAAUUGUUCACAAUAAUUGUCUUUGCCUCACUGUUUUUGUUAUAUGAGAUCUAUAAUUGAUCUUGGGAUAUUGCUUUCUAGUUCUCAUGCACGCAGGUUACUGCCAUCCCACUGCAUCUCCUCCUUAAUCUACGAUCCAAGAGUUGCGUGCCACAAUCUGGGUUUUACCUCUGCAAGAUUAUGAGUGAAUAUAAUGCCUUUAAAUUUUCUUUAUACAUGUUGCUAAGGCUGAAUAAUAUAGUGUAGCUCCUGUCUUAUUCUACUUUGUCUAUAUAUAUUCUGUUACAUAUAAAAAUCUUAUUCAACUUUAGUUGUUCAUGAGCAAAUGUCACAUGUAUGUCUGGCUGAUGUUUAAAGGUAGCACAGCUACCUUCAGUUUGAGCUUACAAUGGGUGAAAAAAAAAAUUGAAAUUGAUAUUUUGCUGUUUUUUUUAUUUUCCAAAGUAUUUUAGAUCUUGACUUUUGUUUGGACUUGAUGGUUAUAGAUUGUGUCUAGAUUUCUUAAGUUGUUUCCAACACCUCAUGCCAAAUUAAAGCACAAUCCUUAUGCGUGCGUUCACAAUUAGUAAGAAAAAUAUGUUUGGAUAGACUGCAGUAGGCAAAUUGGGAGCCAAUUUUAUGUCUUUGUUUGCAGAAUUAUUCGUCUCUAUGUUUGUCAUUGGCUUUCAACCCAAUAAUAGUUAUCAAAGAGUUGGACUUGAGAUAUUGGCUGAAGCAUAUUUGGAAUCUGAUUAAUUUUUCUUUAUUUAGCUAGUUGUAACUUAUGCUCUCUUUUUAUCUCUUUGCACUUCUGCAAUUUUCAUCACAAUGUUUGUUUUACUUAUGUGCAUUCCAUGAGUUUUGUUAGGUUACACGUCUGAACAAAGAAAUAAUGUACAUUCCCAUACCUGGGGGGCUGGAAGUGGUUAUAGUUACCGUGUUGAGAGGUGUUGCAUUGUGAAGAUGAUAAACUAGUUAUCUCUACCUUUUUUUGAUUCAGAUGUCUAGUUAAUUAUGCUUCAUUUUUUCGUUAAAGACUGGAUGGUUGCAUGGAUUGAUGGAGUUGGAGUUCAAUCAAUAAUUCUAAUCUUUUGGACUUAAAAUGCCUUUUUCUUUUGUACAAAAACUUUAGUAAGUGCUAUUGAGUUGGCAGAAGUUGAAUACUUACAGUUUGUUUCACACUUCAGCUACGAAUUUAUAUUUUUUGAAUUGUAGAAAGGAGGUGGAACUUUUGAUCUGGAUCCUUGUCUUACUGACUCAUCGACAGUGGAGCCUACCGUUGCUCCCAUGGUAGUGGAACGGACAAUGACUACUAGGGUUGUAGCAUCGGUUAGUUUGGAUUUGUAUUGAGUUUUAUUGUCAUUUAUUUAGGUAUGUUAGGUUGUUUUAAGAGCGAAUUUUGAUAUGUCAAUAUAAUGUAUAAUUGUUUUGGUUGAGCUUGUAAUUAUGCUGGAUUAGAUUGGUUUGAUUUUGGUGCUUCUCUGAUGGAAAACUGCUUUUUCGAAAAUUUUGAAUGUAAUAUGAGGCUACAUUUAGUUUAAUUGAACAUUGCAUCUAGUAUAUUUAUUUUAAAGUGUGAAUCCAGUGGCAUUUGGUUUGGUUUAUUCGAUAUUUAUCCAGAAUUUCACUCGCAUCUGGUUUUGUUGCAUAUGUUUACUGGCAUUUGAUGGCAGUACCAGACUAUGUUUGGUUUUGUGGCAUUUGAUGGCAGUACCAGACUAUGUUUGGUUUUGACUUAAGAUUGUUCCCGUUGUGCUGAUGUUAAUUCCCGGUGCUUGAAUCAGCUGGUGUUGCUGGUUUAUUUAGAUGGUUGACUCAGGCGGUGUUGCUGGUUGAUUCAGGUGGAUGACUCAAAUUGUUCAUUUAAGACUUGUAACUAUAAUGUUAG